AGAAUCAACGCUGGCGGCGUGCCUAACACAUGCAAGUCGAUCGAGAAAGUGGAGCAAUCCAUGAGUAAAGAGGCGCACGGGUGAGUAACACGUGACUAACCUACCCUCGAGUGGGGAAUAACCUGGGGAAACCCGGGCUAAUACCGCAUAAUACCCACGGGUCAAAGGAGCAAUUCGCUUGAGGAGGGGGUCGCGGCAGAUUAGUUAGUUGGCGGGGUAAUGGCCCACCAAGGCGAUGAUCGGUA
RNAcentral lists this ribosomal RNA (245 nucleotides) under uncultured bacterium. RNAcentral's name for it is "partial small subunit ribosomal RNA". It matches the Rfam family "Bacterial small subunit ribosomal RNA", at positions 26 to 285 of the family's 1533-position model. The record is from RNAcentral.